This 90-nucleotide transfer RNA is filed under the name Thermodesulfobacteriota bacterium. RNAcentral describes it as "tRNA-Ser". It matches the Rfam family "tRNA". Rfam says of the family: Transfer RNA (tRNA) molecules are approximately 80 nucleotides in length. The record is from RNAcentral. Lineage: Bacteria; Pseudomonadati; Thermodesulfobacteriota.
GGAGAGGUACCGAAGUGGUCAUAACGGGGCCGACUCGAAAUCGGCUUGUCCCUUAACCGGGGCACGUGGGGUCGAAUCCCACCCUCUCCG